GUGCCAGCCGCCGCGGUAAUACGGAGGGUGCGAGCGUUGUCCGGAAUCACUGGGCGUAAAGGGCGCGUAGGUGGUCGGGUAAGCGUGUGGUGAAAGCUCGGGGCUCAACCCCGAGUCGGCCAUGCGAACUGCUCGACUUGAGCACUGUAGAGGCAGACGGAAUUCCGGGUGUAGCGGUGGAAUGCGUAGAGAUCCGGAAGAACACCGGUGGCGAAGGCGGUCUGCUGGGCAGUUGCUGACACUGAGGCGCGACAGCGUGGGGAGCAAACAGGAUUAGAAACCCCCGUAGUCC
This 292-nucleotide ribosomal RNA is filed under the name uncultured bacterium. RNAcentral describes it as "partial 16S ribosomal RNA". It matches the Rfam family "Bacterial small subunit ribosomal RNA", at positions 505 to 796 of the family's 1533-position model. The record is from RNAcentral.